Molecule: ribosomal RNA, 734 nt
Filed under: uncultured fungus
Lineage: Eukaryota; Fungi
Description: bacterial SSU rRNA
Rfam family: Eukaryotic small subunit ribosomal RNA
Source: RNAcentral
UAUUUUGUUGGUUUCUAGGAUCGACGUAAUGAUUAAUAGGGAUAGUGGGGGGCAUUAGUAUUCAAAGUCAGAGGUGAAAUUCUUGGAUUUAUUGAAGACUAAGACUGCGAAAGCAUUUGCCAAGGACGUUUUCAUUAAUCAAGAACGAAAGUUAGGGGAUGGGAGACGAUCAGAAUCCGUCGUAGUCUUAACCAUAACAUAUGCCGACUAGGGAUCGGAUUAUGUUAAUUUUUUAAUGACUCAUUCGGCGCCUUACGGGAAACCAAAAAAUUUGGGUUCCUGGGGGAGUAUGGUCGCAAGGAUGAAACUUAAAGAAAUUGACGGAAGGGCACCACCACCGGGGGAGCAUCCGGCUUAAUUUGACUCAACACCGGGAAACUCACCACCUCCACCCAUCGUAAGGAUUGACAGAUUGAGAGCUCUUUCUUGAUUAUAUUGGUGGUGGUGUAUCACCGUUCUUAGUUGGUGGAGGGAUUUGUUUGGUUAAUUACUUUAACGAACGAGACCUCAACAUCCUAAAUAAUUACCAUUAACUUUUGGUAGGCCGUCGCUUUUUAAAAGGACCAUUCAUGUUUAACCGAAGGAAAUUUGAGGCCAUAACCAGUUUGUGAAGCCCUUAGAAGUUUUGGGCCGCCCGCCCGGUACCAUGAUGAAAUCAACGAAUUUUUAUCCUUUAUCGGAAGAUAUGGGUAAUCUUUUGAAACUUCAUCGUGCUGGGGAUAGAGCAUGCAAUA